This 464-nucleotide ribosomal RNA is filed under the name uncultured bacterium. Its description in RNAcentral is "partial 16S ribosomal RNA". It matches the Rfam family "Bacterial small subunit ribosomal RNA", at positions 338 to 795 of the family's 1533-position model. The record is from RNAcentral.
CCUACGGGAGGCAGCAGUAGGGAAUUUUCGGCAAUGGGGGGAACCCUGACCGAGCAACGCCGCGUGAAGGAAGAAGGAAUUCGUUCUGUAAACUUCUGUUAUAAAGGAAGAAAGACGGAUGGAGGAAAUGACAUCCGAGUGACGGUACUUUAUGAGAAAGCCACGGCUAAAUACGUACCAGCAGCCGCGGUAAUACGUAGGUGGCAAGCGUUAUCCGGAAUUAUUGGGCGUAAAGAGGGAGCAGGCGGCAGCAAAGGUCUGUGGUGAAAGACUGAAGCUAAACUUCAGUAAGCCAUAGAAACCGGGUAGCUAGAGUGCAGGAGAGGAUCGUGGAAUUCCAUGUGUAGCGGUGAAAUGCGUAGAUAUUAGGAGGAACACCAGUGGCGAAGGCGGCUUACUGGACAGUAACUGACGUUGAGGCUCGAAAGCGUGGGGAGCAAACAGGAUUAGAUACCCCAGUAGUU